This 253-nucleotide ribosomal RNA is filed under the name uncultured bacterium. RNAcentral's name for it is "partial 16S ribosomal RNA". It matches the Rfam family "Bacterial small subunit ribosomal RNA", at positions 524 to 776 of the family's 1533-position model. The record is from RNAcentral.
UACGUAGGUGGCAAGCGUUAUCCGGAUUUAUUGGGCGUAAAGGGAACGCAGGCGGUCUUUUAAGUCUGAUGUGAAAGCCUUCGGCUUAACCGGAGUAGUGCAUUGGAAACUGGGAGACUUGAGUGCAGAAGAGGAGAGUGGAACUCCAUGUGUAGCGGUGAAAUGCGUAGAUAUAUGGAAGAACACCAGUGGCGAAAGCGGCUCUCUGGUCUGUAACUGACACUGAGGCUCGAAAGCGUGGGGAGCAAACAGG